ACGAUCUCACGAUAUUAGGUGAGGCGCCAUUAUGGAAGACGACUGGGAUGGUUCUAGCCUCAAGCAAAUGAGACACCAUUUAUAGAGGAAUCAAGCCUGGGCACCUCCAACUACUCCCUCUGAUUACAUGAUAGAUGUCACCACAUAAAGGCCUCGAAGAUCAUGCCUCCCAAAAAUCAAGGCUUCAAUUGUCCUUUCCAAUAGGCUGUCACUAUCGAAAAGAGCCAAGUAUUAAAUCUCCAGGGAGUAUAAUUUUUCAAAGCCAAACCAAUUAGAGAUAUCUUAGUCCCGAUUGAGAUCUCUGAAAAAAUAUUUAGUAAACUACCAAAUAUGAUGACAAUCACAAGAUAUUUGGAUGAUUGUCUGAACCCCGAUGAUUGGAUUGAUGGACCGAUCCCUC
This 400-nucleotide long non-coding RNA is filed under the name Elaeis guineensis (African oil palm). Its description in RNAcentral is "long non-coding RNA (EGUI_LNC003461)". The record is from RNAcentral. Lineage: Eukaryota; Viridiplantae; Streptophyta; Magnoliopsida; Arecales; Arecaceae.